Molecule: ribosomal RNA, 253 nt
Filed under: uncultured bacterium
Lineage: Bacteria
Description: partial 16S ribosomal RNA
Rfam family: Bacterial small subunit ribosomal RNA
Source: RNAcentral
UACGUAGGUGGCAAGCGUUAUCCGGAAUUACUGGGCGUAAAGCGCACGCAGGCGGUCUUUUAAGUUUGACGUGAAAGCUCCCGGCUUAACUGGGAGAGGUCGUUGAAUACUGGAAGACUUGAGGCAAUGAGAGGGGUGUAGAAUUCCCGGUGUAGUGGUGGAAUGCGUAGAUAUCGGGGGGAACACCGAUGGCGAAGGCAGCUCGCUGGGACGGUACUGACGCUGAGACGCGAAAGCGUGGGGAGCAAACAGG